Molecule: ribosomal RNA, 279 nt
Filed under: uncultured bacterium
Lineage: Bacteria
Description: partial 16S ribosomal RNA
Rfam family: Bacterial small subunit ribosomal RNA
Source: RNAcentral
UGCCAGCCGCCGCGGUAAUACGAAGGGUGCUAGCGUUGUUCGGAAUUACUGGGCGUAAAGAGCAUGUAGGCGGAUGAAUUAGUCAGAGGUGAGAGCCCCGAGCUCAACUUGGGAACUGCCUUUGAUACUGUUUAUCUAGAGUCCGAGAGAGGUUAGUGGAAUUCCCAGUGUAGAGGUGAAAUUCGUAGAUAUCUGGAGGAACACCGGUGGCGAAGGCGGCCCACUGGGAUUGUUCUGACGCUGAGGCGCGAAAGCGUGGGGAGCGAACGGGAUUAGAUA